UUCACAACUUGAACUGUGUAGUCAGCUGUCGGUAAUCCUGGCAAUGGCGUGCUGUGUCGCUCCAUUACAAAGUUGAUAGUAGGCUACCUUGAUGCCUAGACAGUGGGCUAAGGCAGCAACCAGCUACCUUCAGUUUCGGACAGACAUAAAAUGAAAUAGCGGUGUGGACAACAAAGAAAUUGUGGAAUUUGAAGCUCCCCAGGUGGAAAAGUAGGCGACUAGUAGCAUAAGGACUUCCUUGGUCCUUGUCGUGGUGCUGAGAUGAGGAUGAGAGCAGUGAGCAGGCAGGUGCAGUCAUGAAUUUUCACUUACUGGGAGAGGGAGUGGCUAUAUGGAAAGGAUGGACAAAGCUGCUUCAGGAGGAAAAUAGCCUAAAUCAACAGACGAGGAGUGAUGGCUGGAAAGAGAAGCCCAUUCCGCUCUCUUUCUCCACGGACACAUACAACUCUGCUGAUUGCAGUGGACUGGGGGGGCCGUGGGAGAAACAUUGAAGGGAUGAGACAAUCUAUUUAUCCCUGGUCUCUCUGAAAAGAUAAGAUGUGCUGGGACCGUCACUGGGACCUUGGCCAAGACUUCAACAUUAACACAAUUAUUGUUUCCACAAUUGCCCCUGGUUCCAGGAGGAACAGACUAUAAAAGGGUAUUGUUUCAUAAUUAGUUCAGAGGACACACCUCCGUCUUGCCCGUAUCAGUCAAUCCAUUUAGAGAGUGCUUAGGAGGCAAAGCUCCCUGUGGGUAGCGUCGUGACCUUGGUGAGUCUCUCUUAUAAGAAACUCAGGCUUUGGUCAACAGCAUCUGUAUGCUGACUCCUGCAAGCAGUAUUACUAUUUCUACAUGUGAACUUUUCAAAGAAGCAUCAGAUUGUUUAAUUACUACAGACUUUAGAGCACUGCUUGACAUUAUAUAAUGUAGUAUGUGGUAGCUUGACAUUUAUGUGACAUGCAGAAAGGACUGUGAGAUGGGGGAAAAACUGUGAAGGCC
Long non-coding RNA from Alosa sapidissima (American shad), 981 nucleotides. RefSeq lists it as uncharacterized. The transcript is spliced from 4 exons. Lineage: Eukaryota; Metazoa; Chordata; Actinopteri; Clupeiformes; Clupeidae. The record is from RefSeq and is a predicted model, not a curated record.